UACGUAGGGUGCGAGCGUUAAUCGGAAUUACUGGGCGUAAAGCGUGCGCAGGCUGCUUCGCAAGUCAGGCGUGAAAUCCCCGGGCUUACCCUGGGAAUGCCAUUUGUGACUGCAAGACUAGAGUACGGCAGAGGGGGGUAGAAUUCCACGUGUAGCAGUGAAAUGCGUAGAUAUGUGGAGGAAUACCGAUGGCGAAGGCAGCCCCCGGGGUCGAUACUGACGCUCAUGCACGAAAGCGUGGGGAGCAAACAGU
Molecule: ribosomal RNA, 253 nt
Filed under: uncultured bacterium
Lineage: Bacteria
Description: partial 16S ribosomal RNA
Rfam family: Bacterial small subunit ribosomal RNA
Source: RNAcentral